CCUACGGGUGGCAGCAGUGGGGAAUAUUGCACAAUGGGGGAAACCCUGAUGCAGCGACGCCGCGUGAAGGAAGAAGGAUUUCGGUAUGGAAACUUCUAUCAGCAGGGAAGAAAAUGAGGGUACCUGACUAAGAAGCCACGGCUAACUACGUGCCAGCAGCCGCGGUAAGACGGAGGGGGCAAGCGUUAUCCGGAUUUACUGGGUGUCAAGGGAGCGUAGGCGGUUUAGCAAGUCAGAAGGGAAAGCCCGGGGCUCACCUCCGGGACUGCUUUUGAAACUGUUGAACUAGAUUGCAGGAGAGGUAAGUGGUAUUCCUUGUGUAGCGGUGAACUCCGUAUAUAUUAGGAGGAACUCCAGUGGCGAAGGCGGCUUACUGGACUGUACCUGACGCUGCGGCUCGACAGCGUGGGGAGCAAACAGGAUUAGAUACCCGUGUAGUC
This 440-nucleotide ribosomal RNA is filed under the name uncultured bacterium. RNAcentral describes it as "partial 16S ribosomal RNA". It matches the Rfam family "Bacterial small subunit ribosomal RNA", at positions 338 to 795 of the family's 1533-position model. The record is from RNAcentral.